This 87-nucleotide non-coding RNA is filed under the name unclassified sequences. RNAcentral describes it as "L4-Archaeoglobi ribosomal protein leader". It matches the Rfam family "L4-Archaeoglobi ribosomal protein leades". The record is from RNAcentral.
CUGACCGGUACGCAUGGGUCGACGUUCGUGCAACGAGCCCGUUCCCGCUGUUUCAAUAAUUUGGGCAGAAGGAUGCGUUAUUGUCAG